UCUCUCUCUCUCUCUCUCUCCUCUUUGGCUGAGUAUUGAGUAACGUUGAGUGAUUGCGGAAAGAAAACGUUGUGUGCAGCCAUUCAAGGGGAGACUCUUGCUAUUGUGACAGGUUCUUUCUUUUCCUUAUUUAUUUAUUUUACAUCUUACAGAGUGCAAUAUUUGGCAAAGUGCACGUGACAUUAGUUAGGGAAUAGCAUAAAGGACAGAGAAAGCGUUGUGUGCAGCCAUUCAAGGGGAGACUCUUACUUUUGUUACAGGUUCUUUCUUUUCCUUAUUUAUUUAUUUUACAUCUUACAGAGUGCAAUAUUAGGCAAAGUGAACGUGACAUUAGUUAUGGAAUAGCAUAAAGGAAAGAGAAAGCGUUGUGUGCGGCCAUAUAAGGGGAAACUCUUACUUUUGUUACAUGUUCUUUCUUUUCCUUAUUUAUUUAUUUUACAUCUUACAGAGUGCAAUAUUUGGCAAAGUGCACGUGACAUUAGUUUACGGUAUAGGUUAAAGGAAAGAGAGAGCGUUGUGUGCAGCCAUGGAAGAGGAGACUGUCAUUAGUUCAUGAAUCAUAGUGGGACAGCUUCAUGUAAUUCAGUGGGCUGGAAGGAUGUGCCAUAAGCCUUUAUUUUUUAGCACUUGUUUCCUACCAUUGUGUCUUUAGUUUCAUGGUGCUACCUUCACAUGUCUCCCUAGUUGUUUAAUCACACUAUGUAUAUACUGCCUGGGGGCUGGUAUAGCAUGCUCCUCCCUUCUCCUUUGUGGUAUACUUGCAUCAAUAAACUAUCAAUCAAUCAUAAGCAGGUGAUUCGAUUUUUUAUGUAUUUUUUUUAUUUGGCGAAGUUCACGUUUCGUUAGUUUACAGAGAUUAGUAAAGAGAAAACGUCGUGUGCAGCCGUGGAAGGGGAGACUCCUUGUUAGUUGAUUCGAUUUCUGAUUUAUUUAUUAAUUUAUUUCUAUUUGGUUUAGUGCAGGUGUCUUAAGUUUUCUGAGGACAACACAUGGAAUAACGAUUGUACUGAUAUUAAAAAAGGGCCCUCUAAUUUCCAAUGUAUAUAAAGUUAAAAACAGUAUGUACGUAGCUGUAGAGCAAUUAUUUCAAUGAGAAUGUGAGUUGCAAUGAUUAUAAUUCUUCUGGAGUGUUUUUUGGGGGGCUAGUCAGACUGUGGGACAACAUAAUUUCCAUACUAGCGAGGAAAUAAGUAAUAGUUAAGAAAUAUACAAGCUAAAAAUGCUAGUGGGAUGGACUACGAGAAACACAAAACAAAUAAAUAAACGAAGAGAGAGAACAUGAUCAAUUAUUUGCUUGUGGGAGUAUUUCUUAACCCUCACCAACACCUGUGCCAGCGUUAAUG
Eriocheir sinensis (Chinese mitten crab) is the source of this 1343-nucleotide long non-coding RNA. RefSeq lists it as uncharacterized. NCBI's taxonomy places the organism in Eukaryota, Metazoa, Arthropoda, Malacostraca, Decapoda, Varunidae. The record is from RefSeq and is a predicted model, not a curated record. The transcript has 3 exons.